GUCCUAAGGUAGCAAAUUUCCUUGUCGUCCUAAUAACGACCUGCAUGAAACAUCAUAGAACGAUUCGAUAGCUGUCUUGCACACAUCAUGGUAAAAUAUUCAUCAGUACAAAGAAUAUGCUGGUGAGCUAAGACCACACUAAAGGACAAAAAGACCCUCUGAAGCUUUAUAGGGAUAAAAUCUAGUACACAUCCAGGCGUUUAUAAGCUGAUGGCCCAAGAAGUCCUUCCCAGUAUUUAAAUGCUAUCUUAAUGAGCUUAAAAUUAAUCUACCAACACCAAGCUACUCUACCCAAUAUUAAAACUCAAGCUUAUCAUCACCAAAAUCUGUAGCUAGCUUAUUGGUGGGAGUGCUCAUCCCGUAAAUCGGUACGUGAGCUGGGUUCAAUACGAUGGAA
This 397-nucleotide ribosomal RNA is filed under the name Symbiodinium sp. Ap1. RNAcentral's name for it is "partial 23S ribosomal RNA". The record is from RNAcentral. Lineage: Eukaryota; Dinophyceae; Suessiales; Symbiodiniaceae.